CCUUUAGAGUUUGAUCCUGGCUCAGAUUGAACGCUGGCGGCAGGCCUAACACAUGCAAGUCGAGCGGUAACAUUUCUAGCUUGCUAGAAGAUGACGAGCGGCGGACGGGUGAGUAAUGCUUGGGAAUAUGCCUUAGGGUGGGGGACAACAGUUGGAAACGACUGCUAAUACCGCAUAACGUCUACGGACCAAAGGGGGCUUCGGCUCUCGCCCUUAGAUUAGCCCAAGUGGGAUUAGCUAGUUGGUGAGGUAAUGGCUCACCAAGGCGACGAUCCCUAGCUGGUUUGAGAGGAUGAUCAGCCACACUGGAACUGAGACACGGUCCAGACUCCUACGGGAGGCAGCAGUGGGGAAUAUUGCACAAUGGGCGCAAGCCUGAUGCAGCCAUGCCGCGUGUGUGAAGAAGGCCUUAGGGUUGUAAAGCACUUUCAGUAAGGAGGAAAGGUUAGUAGUUAAU
RNAcentral lists this ribosomal RNA (457 nucleotides) under Pseudoalteromonas sp. C9. Its description in RNAcentral is "bacterial SSU rRNA". It matches the Rfam family "Bacterial small subunit ribosomal RNA", at positions 1 to 464 of the family's 1533-position model. Lineage: Bacteria; Pseudomonadati; Pseudomonadota; Gammaproteobacteria; Alteromonadales; Pseudoalteromonadaceae. The record is from RNAcentral.